RNAcentral lists this ribosomal RNA (450 nucleotides) under uncultured bacterium. RNAcentral describes it as "partial 16S ribosomal RNA". It matches the Rfam family "Bacterial small subunit ribosomal RNA", at positions 354 to 796 of the family's 1533-position model. The record is from RNAcentral.
GUGGGGAAUCUUCCGCAAUGGACGAAAGUCUGACGGAGCAACGCCGCGUGAGUGAAGAAGGUUUUCGGAUCGUAAAGCUCUUUCGUUAGGGACGAACGUGCUCUUUGUGAAUAAUGAGGAGUAAUGACGGUACCUAAAUAAGAAGCCACGGCUAACUACGUGCCAGCAGCCGCGGUAAUACGUAGGUGGCAAGCGUUGUCCGGAAUUAUUGGGCGUAAAGCGCGCGCAGGCGGGAUAUCAAGUCUGUCUUAAAAGUGCGAGGCUCAACCUCGUGAGGGGACAGAAACUGGUAUUCUUGAGUUUCGGAGAGGAAAGUCGAAUUCCAAGUGUAGCGGUGAAAGGCGUAGAGAUUUGGAAGAACACCAGUGGCGAAGGCGACUGUCUGGACGAUGUCUGACGCUGAGGCGCGAAAGCUAGGGGAGCGAACGGGAUUAGAUACCCGUGUAGUCC